UCCGAACCCUAAUUCUCUCUUGGUUGCGAAACCCUCUGAAUGGCUCUCUCCGUCUCAAACAGAAAAGGGAAACAACAAACCCUAGAUUCGAUUUCUCUGCUUCUUCCAUCUUCGGCUCGUUCACAAUCCAGACGAAUCGAGCGUCUUCGUGUUCUUCAUUCAUUCGUUUAUCAUGGGCCAAAAAAGUAGGCAUCAAUAAUACUGCAAAGGUUUUGCAUUCUCAGUGUUUGUCUCUGUUACCAAG
This is a long non-coding RNA of Brassica oleracea var. oleracea, 244 nucleotides long. RefSeq lists it as uncharacterized. The transcript has 2 exons. The record is from RefSeq and is a predicted model, not a curated record. NCBI's taxonomy places the organism in Eukaryota, Viridiplantae, Streptophyta, Magnoliopsida, Brassicales, Brassicaceae.